CGCAUGGCUAAGAGCUCUACAUUAUGGUUUGCAAAGGUAUGUGAAGUAUGCCAAUCCGCACUUGGCCAGCGUGGUGGACUAAAGCCAACCCUUCUCAUUCUGUGUGGAGACCCAUUUUCAGUAGUGAAUGGGCGAAGGGUUGAUCGUAAUG
Maniola jurtina (meadow brown) is the source of this 151-nucleotide long non-coding RNA. RefSeq lists it as uncharacterized. The record is from RefSeq and is a predicted model, not a curated record. The transcript is spliced from 3 exons. NCBI's taxonomy places the organism in Eukaryota, Metazoa, Arthropoda, Insecta, Lepidoptera, Nymphalidae.